RNAcentral lists this ribosomal RNA (1244 nucleotides) under metagenome. RNAcentral describes it as "bacterial LSU rRNA". It matches the Rfam family "Bacterial large subunit ribosomal RNA", at positions 1644 to 2894 of the family's 2925-position model. The record is from RNAcentral.
GUACCCGAAACCGACACAGGUAGGGAGGUUGAGAAUACCAAGGGGCGCGAGAUAACUCUCUCUAAGGAACUCGGCAAAAUGGCCCCGUAACUUCGGGAGAAGGGGUGCCCACCUCAGACGUGGGUCGCAGUGAAGAGAUCCAGGCGACUGUUUACCAAAAACACAGGUCUCCGCCAACUCGCAAGAGGACGUAUGGGGGCUGACGCCUGCCCAGUGCCGGAAGGUUAAGGAAGCUGGUCAGCGAAAGUAAAGCUGGCGACUGAAGCCCCGGUGAACGGCGGCCGUAACUAUAACGGUCCUAAGGUAGCGAAAUUCCUUGUCGGGUAAGUUCCGACCCGCACGAAAGGCGUAACGAUCUGGAUGGUGUCUCAGAGAGAGACUCGGCGAAAUAGGAAUGUCUGUGAAGAUACGGACUGCCUGCACCUGGACAGAAAGACCCUAUGAAGCUUUACUGUAGCCUGGAAUUGUGUUCGGGCUUCGCUUGCGCAGGAUAGGUGGGAAGCGGUGAACUAUUCCUUUUGGGGAAUAGGGAGCUAACGGUGAGAUACCACUCUGGCGAAGCUAGAAUUCUAACCCACGACCGUCAGCCGGUUGGGGAACAGUUUCAGGUGGGCAGUUUGACUGGGGCGGUCGCCUCCUAAAAAGUAAUGGAGGCGCGCAAAGGUUCCCUCAGCACGCUUGGAAACCGUGCGACGAGUGUAAAAGCAAAAGGGAGCUUGACUGCAAGACUGACAAGUCGAGCAGGUACGAAAGUAGGCUUUAGUGAUCCGACGGCGCAGAGUGGAAUGGCCGUCGCUCAACGUAUAAAAGUUACUCUAGGGAUAACAGGCUGAUCUCCCCCAAGAGUCCACAUCGACGGGGAGGUUUGGCACCUCGAUGUCGGCUCAUCGCAACCUGGGGCGGAAGUACGUCCCAAGGGUUGGGCUGUUCGCCCAUUAAAGCGGUACGUGAGCUGGGUUCAGAACGUCGUGAGACAGUUCGGUCCAUAUCCGGUGCAGGCGCAAGAGUAUUGAGAGGAGUCCUCCUUAGUACGAGAGGACCGGGAGGAACGCACCGCUGGUGUACCAGUUAUUGUACCAACAGUAAACGCUGGGUAGCCAAGUGCGGAGAGGAUAACCGCUGAAAGCAUCUAAGUGGGAAGCCCACCUCAAGAUGAGUACUCUCACUACAAAAAGUAGGUAAGGUCACGGGCAGAACACCCGUUAAUAGGCUCUAAGUGGAAGUGCAGUAAUGUAUGAAGCUGA